CCUACGGGUUGCACCAGUGGGGAAUUUUCCGCAAUGGGCGAAAGCCUGACGGAGCAAUGCCGCGUGGAGGUAGAAGGCCCACGGGUCGUGAACUUCUUUUCCCGGAGAAGAAGCAAUGACGGUAUCUGGGGGAUAAGCAUCGGCUAACUCUGUGCCAGCAGCCGCGGUAAUACAGAGGAUGCAAGCGUUAUCCGGAAUGAUUGGGCGUAAAGCGUCCGUAGGUGGCUUUUUAAGUCCGCCGCCAAAUCCCAGGGCUCAACCCUGGACGGGCGGUGGAAACUACCAAGCUGGAGUACGGUAGGGACAGAGGGAAUUUCCGGUGGAGCGGUGAAGUGCGUAGAGAUCGGAAAGAACACCAACGGCGAAGGCACUCUGCUGGGCCGACACUGACACUGAGAGACGAAAGCUAGGGGAGCGAAUGGGAUUAGAUACCCUCGUAGUC
This 442-nucleotide ribosomal RNA is filed under the name uncultured bacterium. RNAcentral describes it as "bacterial SSU rRNA". It matches the Rfam family "Bacterial small subunit ribosomal RNA", at positions 338 to 795 of the family's 1533-position model. The record is from RNAcentral.